Molecule: unclassified non-coding RNA, 247 nt
Filed under: Hevea brasiliensis (rubber tree)
Lineage: Eukaryota; Viridiplantae; Streptophyta; Magnoliopsida; Malpighiales; Euphorbiaceae
Source: RNAcentral
AGUCCAUUGAGAUCUCUGGUUAAAAUAUGUGAAUUUAUUGUAUCCUUGUAUGGGCAAAUAAAAAAUAAUCGUAUCUGUAGUGUUUGAAGUCGUUCUGUUUCUGUAUUAAAGUCUUCGAAUCGGCUCUGUUUCUCACCUAAUGGCGUAGUUGAUGUACUUGCUGUAAAAUUUCAUGUUGAAAGAUGUAAUAGUAGUGUUGUAAUAUCCUCUUUUUUUCUUAGAACACUUCAUAAAAUGCAAAUUUGAU